AGAACGAACGCUGGCGGCAGGCUUAACACAUGCAAGUCGAGCGCCCCGCAAGGGGAGCGGCAGACGGGUGAGUAACGCGUGGGAACGUACCCCCCGGUUCGGAAUAACUCAGGGAAACUUGAGCUAAUACCGGAUACGGCUGGAAGGCGAAAGAUUCAUCGCCGGGGGAUCGGCCCGCGUCCGAUUAGCUAGUUGGUGUGGUAACGGCGCACCAAGGCGACGAUCGGUAGCUGGUCUGAGAGGAUGAUCAGCCACAUUGGGACUGAGACACGGCCCAAACUCCUACGGGAGGCAGCAGUGGGGAAUAUUGGACAAUGGGCGCAAGCCUGAUCCAGCCAUGCCGCGUGAGUGAUGAAGGCCUUAGGGUUGUAAAGCUCUUUCACCCACGACGAUAAUGACGGUAGUGGGAGAAGAGCCCCGGCUAACUUCGCGCCAGCAGCCGC
This 443-nucleotide ribosomal RNA is filed under the name uncultured bacterium. RNAcentral describes it as "SSU rRNA". It matches the Rfam family "Bacterial small subunit ribosomal RNA", at positions 26 to 518 of the family's 1533-position model. The record is from RNAcentral.